UACGAAGGGGGCUAGCGUUGUUCGGAAUUACUGGGCGUAAAGGGCUCGUAGGCGGUCCCUCAAGUCAGGCGUGAAAGCCCCGGGCUCAACCUGGGAACCGCGCUUGAGACUGAUGGGCUAGAGUUCGGGAGAGGAUGGUGGAAUUCCCAGUGUAGAGGUGAAAUUCGUAGAUAUUGGGAAGAACACCGAUGGCGAAGGCAGCCAUCUGGACCGACACUGACGCUGAGGCGCGAAAGCGUGGGGAGCAAACAGG
RNAcentral lists this ribosomal RNA (253 nucleotides) under uncultured bacterium. RNAcentral's name for it is "partial 16S ribosomal RNA". It matches the Rfam family "Bacterial small subunit ribosomal RNA", at positions 524 to 776 of the family's 1533-position model. The record is from RNAcentral.